UGUUUGAGGAUUGAAUGUGAUGAUUGUAUUGAUUGGGGUUAUUGUAUAUGAGGUUGAUAUUUAUAUAUUUGGGAGAUGUAUUGAGUUAGGGAAAGGCUUAAGGCCUAUGUGUGCCGGUGUAACGUGGUGGAAUGACAUAUAUGUAUGUCUCGGGCGUUAUAUCGUUUCUUGUUGGGUUAUGUGGCAAUCAUUUGAGUUGGCAUGAUUCAUCGCCGAAGCGGGCAUGCGGCGUGCCUGUAAAUGAAGUAACGUAGAUGCGUGAUGUCGUGGAGACAACGUGGAACGUAUGAACAUGGUGGCGGAUCAAGCGAGAACCAAUGUCGGUAACUUGAUUGCGUGAAGGCGUGAGACAGCGUGAUGUCGUUGAGACAACGCAACAUGAAAGUUCUCGCGCGACAACAUGAAGAACGCGGGUACCGAUUUAGGUGGCGUGGUCUCAUUGUUGGCACCGCCGGGGUUUAUCCUCGUUUCUUGUUGAUUGCUUUCGAUUUACUGAAUGUUAAAGUUAGAUGCUUAUGCUAUGUUGUGUGAUGAUUGUUGGUGAUUGAUUUCGGGGCUCCUAGAGCUUCGCUCACUAAGCUUUUGUCGAAAUGCUCACCCCUCCUUCUUUCCUUUUCAUUUCAGGUUCGGCUCACAUUGGUGGGUUUUUUUGUCAAAGACGUCCUGGGAUCCUAAAGACACAUUGUUUCGGCCUUGUGGCUGGAGACAAGUGUCAUGAUAUCGCCGACCAUUUCAGCUAUGCUGGGUCGGGGUGCCACAAGUGGUAUCAGAGCCAAGGAAAGACUCCCUAGUCCUAACCUAGAGGGUUAGUCUCGACUCAAAGCAAUAUGAAUUGAACAAGUUCCUAAUCUCUUACUUAAUGGUUGAGUUUUCCCCUUGCUCCAUUUGGAAUUCGGGGCGAAUUCCUAGUUAAAUGGGGUAGAGUUGUCACAUCCCGGUUCUCCCAAACCGGAAUGAUUUUGUUUUUCUUGAUUACUUUUCUUGAUUAUUAACUUGAUUUAGACCAAAGCCCAUUAGCUUUUAUCCUUCUUUUCUGGCCCGUGUAGUAAACCCUAAGGUUUCCUCUUCUUUUCCUAUAAAAAGGAGUCUCCUCCUUCUCUUCUCUCCCAUUAGAAAUCAGAGCGAAGCCUUGCAGAGUUCCAGAGAGAUCUGAAAGCCUUAGCCGUCAAGGUUUCUCUUUUCUUCUCUCUCGUUCUCUCUCACUUGCGUCUCUCUCUCUCUCUCUCUCUCCUUGGUGUUCGCCAUUUGCUGAAGGCUGGAGCCAAGCCGUUGGAGAUCCCCGAUGAACCGAUCCAAUUCUAUGUCCAGAUCUCUCUUUGUCUUCUUUCUAGAUCUGGUCGCUGGUGAGGUAAGGAACCCUAGUUCUCGUUUCCUCCAUCUCUUUGUUCUCUUUUAUCUUGGAUCUCUCAUCCCGGAUUCUUUGGUGGUAGCACCAAUCCUUUUUGUUGUAGAUCUGGUUCGUGGAAAGCCAUAAGCUUCAGAUCUGGUUCUACUCUCUUUUCCAUUCUCAGAUCUAAGGCCAAGGUGAGGGCUUGUUGCAAUCUCUAUCUCCUUCUAUCAUUAUCUCAUCAUGGUAGAAGUGUCUAGGUUGAUCAUUCAUCCCUACUUGUUACUUUCUAUAGAUCUAUUAAUAUAAAUAAAUAUUCAUAUGAUAUAUAUAAAUAUCUUGAUGCUUGAUGUGUGAAAAACAUAGAUCUAUUGCUAAGGUUGUUAAAAUAUGGUUGAAUGAUGUUUGAGGAUUGAAUGUGAUGAUUGUAUUGAUUGGGGUUAUUGUAUAUGAGGUUGAUAUAUAUAUUUGGGAGAUGUAUUGAGUUAGGGAAAGGCUUAAGGCCUAUGUGUGCCGGUGUAACGUGGUGGAAUGACAUAUAUGUAUGUCUCGGGCGUUACAUCGUUUCUUGUUGGGUCAUGUGGCAAUCGUUUGAGUUGGCAUGAUUCAUCGCCGGAGCGGGCAUGCGGCGUGCCUGUAAAUGAAGUAACGUAGAAGCGUGAUGUCGUGGAGACAACGUGGAACGUAUGAACAUGGUGGCGGAUCAAGCGUGAACCGGUGUCGGUAACUUGAUUGCGUGAAGGCGUGAGACAGCGGGAUGUCGUGGAGACAACGCAACAUGAAAGUUCUCGCGCGACAACAUGAGGAACGCGGGUACCGAUUUAGGUGGCGUGGUCUCAUUGUUGGCACCGCCGGGGUUUAUCCUCGUUUCUUGUUGAUUGCUUUCGAUUUACUGAAUGUUAAAGUUAGAUGCUUAUGCUAUGUUGUGUGAUGAUUGUUGGUGAUUGAUUUCGGGGCUCCUGGAGCUUCCCUCACUGAGCUUUUGUCGAAAUGCUCACCCCUCCUUCUUCCCUUUUCAUUUCAGGUUCGGCUCAUAUUGGUGGGUUUUUGUCAAAGACGUCCUGGGAUCCUAAAGACACAUUGUUUCGGCCUUGUGGCUGGAGACAAGUGUCAUGAUAUCGCCGACCAUUUCAGCUAUGCUGGGUCGGGGUGUCACAAGUGGUAUCAGAGCCCAGGAAAGACUCUCUAGUCCUAACCUAGAGGGUCAGUCUCGACUCAAACCAAUAUGAAUUGAACAAGUUCCUAAUCUCUUACUUAAUGGUUGAGUUUUCCCCUUGCUCCGUUUGGAAUUCGGGGCGAAUUCCCAGUUAAGUGGGGUAGAGUUGUCACAUCCCGGUUCUCCCAAACCGGAAUGGUUUUGUUUUUCUUGAUUAUUAACUUGAUUUAGACCAAAGCCCAUUAGCUUUUAUCCUUCUUUUCUGGCCCGUGUAGUAAACCCUAAGGGUUCCUCUUCUUUUCCUAUAAAAAGGAGCCUCCUCCUUCUCUUCUCUCCCAUUAGAAAUCAGAGCGAAGCCUUGCAGAGUUCCAGAGAGAUCUGAAAACCCUAGCCGUCAAGGUUUCUCUUUUCUUCUCUCUCGUUCUCUCUCGCCUGCGUCUCUCUCGCCUGCGUCUGUCUCUCUCUCUCUCUCUCUCUCCUUGGUGUUCGCCGUUUGCUGAAGGCUGGAGCCAAGCCGUUGGAGAUCCCCGAUGAACCGAUCCAAUUCUAUGUCCAGAUCUCUCCUUGUCUUCUUUCUAGAUCUGGUCGCUGGUGAGGUAAGGAACCCUAGUUCUCGUUUCCUCCAUCUCUUUGUUCUCUUUUAUCUUGGAUCUCUCAUCCCGGAUUCUUUGGUGGUAGCACCAAUCCUUUUUGUUGUAGAUCUGGUUCGUGGAAAGCCAUAAGCUUCGGAUCUGGUUCUACUCUCUUUUCCAUUCUCAGAUCUAAGGCCAAGGUGAGGGCUUGUUGCAAUCUCUAUCUCCUUCUAUUAUUAUCUCAUCAUGGUAGAAGUGUCUAGGUUGAUCAUUCAUCCUUAUUUGUUACUUUCUAUAGAUCUACUAAUAUAAAUAACUAUACAUAUGAUAUAUAUAAAUAUCUUGAUGCUUGAUGUGUGAAAAACAUAGAUCUAUUGCUAAGGUUGUUAAAAUAUGGUUGAAUGAUGUUUGAGGAUUGAAUGUGAUGAUUGUAUUGAUUGGGGUUAUUAUUAUAAGAGGAUGAUAUCUUUAUAAUUGGGAGAUGUAAAUGAGUAAGAGAAAGGCUUUAAGGCCUAUGUGUGCCGGUGUAACGUGGUGGAAUGACAUAUAUGUAUGUCUCGGGCGUUACAUCGUUUCUUGUUGGGUUAUGUGGCAAUCAUUUGAGUUGGCAUGAUUCAUCGCCGAAGCGGGCAUGCGGCGUGCCUGUAAAUGAAGUAACGUAGAAGCGUGAUGUCGUGGAGACAACGUGGAACGUAUGAACAUGGUGGCGGAUCAAGCGAGAACCAAUGUCGGUAACUUGAUUGCGUGAAGGCGUGAGACAGCGUGAUGUCGUGGAGACAACGCAACAUGAAAGUUCUCGCGCGACAACAUGAGGAACGCGGGUACCGAUUUAGGUGGCGUGGUCUCAUUGUUGGCACC
Molecule: long non-coding RNA, 3913 nt
Filed under: Brassica napus (rape)
Lineage: Eukaryota; Viridiplantae; Streptophyta; Magnoliopsida; Brassicales; Brassicaceae
Description: long non-coding RNA (BNAP_LNC026294)
Source: RNAcentral